UACGUAGGUGGCAAGCGUUAUCCGGAAUUAUUGGGCGUAAAGCGCGCGCAGGCGGUCCUUUAAGUCUGAUGUGAAAGCCCACGGCUCAACCGUGGAGGGUCAUUGGAAACUGGGGGACCUGAGUGCAGAAGAGGAGAGCGGAAUUCCACGUGUAGCGGUGAAAUGCGUAGAGAUGUGGAGGAACACCAGUGGCGAAGGCGGCUCUCUGGUCUGUAACUGACGCUGAGGCGCGAAAGCGUGGGGAGCGAACAGG
RNAcentral lists this ribosomal RNA (253 nucleotides) under uncultured bacterium. Its description in RNAcentral is "partial 16S ribosomal RNA". It matches the Rfam family "Bacterial small subunit ribosomal RNA", at positions 524 to 776 of the family's 1533-position model. The record is from RNAcentral.